This 79-nucleotide transfer RNA is filed under the name Virgibacillus oceani. RNAcentral describes it as "tRNA-Met". It matches the Rfam family "tRNA". From Rfam's summary of the family: Transfer RNA (tRNA) molecules are approximately 80 nucleotides in length. The record is from RNAcentral. Lineage: Bacteria; Bacillati; Bacillota; Bacilli; Caryophanales; Bacillaceae.
UGGCGGCGUAGCUCAGCUGGCGAGAGCGUACGGUUCAUACCCGUGAGGUCGUGGGUUCGAUCCCCUCCGCCGCUAUCCA